AAUUAAAUUAAUAAAUUUCAAAAAAAAAAUAAAAAAAAAUUAGUUUUCAUUUUUUUAAAUUUUUUUUUCAUGUAUGUGUUACUUUU
RNAcentral lists this non-coding RNA (86 nucleotides) under Pessonella sp. PRA-29. Lineage: Eukaryota; Discosea; Flabellinia; Vannellidae. The record is from RNAcentral.